Molecule: transfer RNA, 72 nt
Filed under: Bos taurus (domestic cattle)
Lineage: Eukaryota; Metazoa; Chordata; Mammalia; Artiodactyla; Bovidae
Also listed under: 4 other names
Rfam family: tRNA
About the family: Transfer RNA (tRNA) molecules are approximately 80 nucleotides in length. Their secondary structure includes four short double-helical elements and three loops (D, anti-codon, and T loops). Further hydrogen bonds mediate the characteristic L-shaped molecular structure. tRNAs have two regions of fundamental functional importance: the anti-codon, which is responsible for specific mRNA codon recognition, and the 3' end, to which the tRNAs corresponding amino acid is attached (by aminoacyl-tRNA synthetases). tRNAs cope with the degeneracy of the genetic code in two manners: having more than one tRNA (with a specific anti-codon) for a particular amino acid; and 'wobble' base-pairing, i.e. permitting non-standard base-pairing at the 3rd anti-codon position.
Source: Rfam by way of RNAcentral
UCCCUGAUGGUCCUGUGGCUAAGACGCUAUAUUCCCAAUGCAGGGGUUGGGGUUCGAUCCCUGGUCAGGGAA